UGUUAGCAGGCUUCUAGUUUUCAUCACACCUUUCUACGGUGGCCAAGAGUUCUCGUCGACCCCGCCCAACUUUACCAAUUUACACAGGGAUCCCUAAGCAGGACCUGUUAUCCGUCAUUGCCAUGUGUGGCAGCAACAUUGCGAAGAGGACAGGUAUUUUGGAGCUAUUUCCUCGGUAACUAUUAUUAAUUUCCUCCGGAAAGCAUCCAAUAAAUAUGUAAAGGAAGAUAGUGUGCACUGGGACAAGAGGACAUAAAGCCCUAUCUUGGGUAAAUUAAUGUGAGGUGUUUCUCCAAAGAAACCAUGAUGAUUUCUUGGCAAGGUCCAAUGGGUAAUUUGGAAUGGGCUUCUUUAAAGGAGCUGAAAAUCAGUGGGAAGUGGAAUGGACAUCAUUUAAUUUUUUCAGUGGGAUGAUAGCACCCCGAGUCUUGCUGAGUGAAGAUCCAAAGGACCAUGUUAUC
Nematostella vectensis (starlet sea anemone) is the source of this 461-nucleotide long non-coding RNA. RefSeq lists it as uncharacterized. The transcript has 4 exons. The record is from RefSeq and is a predicted model, not a curated record. NCBI's taxonomy places the organism in Eukaryota, Metazoa, Cnidaria, Anthozoa, Actiniaria, Edwardsiidae.